GUGGGGAAUUUUGGACAAUGGGGGCAACCCUGAUCCAGCCAUGCCGCGUGCGGGAAGAAGGCCUUCGGGUUGUAAACCGCUUUUGUUAGGAACGAAAAGGUAUCUGUGAACAACAGAUAUUGCUGACGGUACCUAAAGAAUAAGCACCGGCUAACUACGUGCCAGCAGCCGCGGUAAUACGUAGGGUGCGAGCGUUAAUCGGAAUUACUGGGCGUAAAGCGUGCGCAGGCGGUUGGGUAAGACAGGUGUGAAAUCCCCGAGCUUAACUUGGGAACUGCACUUGUGACUGCUCAACUAGAGUAUGUCAGAGGGAGGUGGAAUUCCAAGUGUAGCAGUGAAAUGCGUAGAUAUUUGGAAGAACACCGAUGGCGAAGGCAGCCUCCUGGGAUAAUACUGACGCUCAUGCACGAAAGCGUGGGGAGCAAACAGGAUUAGAAACCCGAGUAGUCC
Molecule: ribosomal RNA, 450 nt
Filed under: uncultured bacterium
Lineage: Bacteria
Description: bacterial SSU rRNA
Rfam family: Bacterial small subunit ribosomal RNA
Source: RNAcentral